AGAGUUUGAUCAUGGCUCAGAAUCAACGCUGGCGGCGUGCCUAACACAUGCAAGUCGCACGAGAAAGGGGAGCAAUCCCUGAGUAAAGUGGCGCACGGGUGAGUAACACGUGAAUCAUCUACCUCCGAGUGGGGAAUAACCUAGAGAAAUCUGGGCUAAUACCGCAUAACACUUACGAGUCAAAGCAGCAAUGCGCUUGGAGAGGAGUUCGCGGCCGAUUAGCUAGUUGGCGGGGUAAUGGCCCACCAAGGCGAUGAUCGGUAUCCGGCCUGAGAGGGCGCACGGACACACUGGAACUGAAACACGGUCCAGACUCCUACGGGAGGCAGCAGUGGGGAAUUUUGCGCAAUGGGGGAAACCCUGACGCAGCAACGCCGCGUGGAGGAUGAAAUAUCUUGGUAUGUAAACUCCUUUCGAUGGGGAAGAUUAUGACGGUACCCAUAGAAGAAGCCCCGGCUAACUUCGUGCCAGCAGCCGCGGUAAUACGAGGGGGGCAAGCGUUGUUCGGAUUUAUUGGGCGUAAAGGGUGCGUAGGCGGUUUGGCAAGUCUUAUGUGAAAUCUUCGGGCUCAACCCGAAGCCUGCAUAAGAAACUGCCGGGCUUGAGUAUGGGAGAGGUGAGUGGAAUUUCCGGUGUAGCGGUGAAAUGCGUAGAUAUCGGAAGGAACACCUGUGGCGAAAGCGGCUCACUGGACCAUAACUGACGCUGAUGCACGAAAGCUAGGGGAGCAAACAGGAUUAGAUACCCCGGUAGUCC
Molecule: ribosomal RNA, 756 nt
Filed under: uncultured bacterium
Lineage: Bacteria
Description: bacterial SSU rRNA
Rfam family: Bacterial small subunit ribosomal RNA
Source: RNAcentral